AUUGAACGCUGGCGGCAGGCCUAACACAUGCAAGUCGAGCGUGCGGCGGACGGGUGAGUAAUGUCUGGGAAACUGCCUGUUGGAGGGGGAUAACUACUGGAUACGGUAGCUAAUACCGCAUACCAUCAGAUGUGCCCAGAUGGGAUUAGCUAGUAGGUGGGGUAACGGCUCUCCUAGGCGACGAUCCCUAGCUGGUCUGAGAGGAUGACCAGCCACAGUGGAACUGAGACACGGGACAGACACCUACGGGAGGCAGCAGUGGGGAAUAUUGCACAAGGGGCGCAAGCAUGAUGCAGCCAGGCCGCGUGUGGGAAGAAGGCCUUCGGGUUGUAAAGCACUUUCAGCGGGGAGGCGUUACCCGCAGAAGAAGCACCGGCUAACUCCGUGCCAGCAGCCGCGGUAAUAC
RNAcentral lists this ribosomal RNA (406 nucleotides) under uncultured bacterium. Its description in RNAcentral is "partial 16S ribosomal RNA". It matches the Rfam family "Bacterial small subunit ribosomal RNA", at positions 29 to 526 of the family's 1533-position model. The record is from RNAcentral.